AGGAAGAGCUGUGCAGGAGCCCUGAUGAAGCAGCAAGAAUGGCACUGCUGUGAAGGGCUGUGUGUGAGAAAACCAGCCAGAGGGUAUAGAAGUUACUGAAAGCAUUCAUAAGAUGACUUCAGAAUACAAAUCUACAGCAAUGAAGCUUUUGCAGGGUUGAUGUUAGUUCACUGGAAGGAUUUUCUGCAGAAAGGUCGUAAAAUACCCUGCAGUCAGAAAUAUGAGGACAAACACUUGGGAGACCCUUCUGAGAUGGCAGUGAGAGGUGCAACUGUGUUCUCCAUGUGAUAUUAAAAACUGCACUACAGCAAGGGUGACCCCUAAAUGGAGCUUCAGGACCAGUACCAAAGCCUUCCCUAGCAUUAUGUAGAGUUACUUUGCAGAGACUAUGUAUGGUGGUAAAAAGCCCUAAAAAUGAUGAGCCAUGGCAAAGAAGGGCACAGGGAUGGGGAGAAGGUGCUCUGAAUGGCAACCUGGUUUUCCAUACAAUGAAUAUGUUGGGUGUUAUUUCUGCAAAAACCCAGUGAAGCCUCACAUACUGUUAGCCCAUCCAGGGCAUUGCACAAUUAAUAUUUUUUUAGAAGCUGUGAUUUAUAUGAUCUUUUAAAAGGAAGGAAAAGAUAACCAUUGCACAUUCAACUGCCUGAGAAGGUAAAGCACAGAUAAGAAAUCAAUGUUGCACAGGCUUUACAAAGAGAGUGCAUCCUGGUCCCAGAUGAGCCUGACAAUGUUUGCAUUCUCACAGAGAAGAAGAGCUAAUCAAAGCUGUGACACAGUUAAGUUCCCUUAAAUUAGAAGAUAAGCAGGAAGGAGAAGUGAGGUCCCCAGGAAAUUAUUUGAUACUUCAUUUGCACUCAAGAGUCAGCCCAACAACUGUCACUGUCAGAGGGGGACAGAAACACAGGAGAGAAGCUGAUUCCUUAAGAUAACACUGAAGGAGCAGAGCACUGCUGAUUUGUUUCCUCAGCUUCUGUGCCCCAGAGAAAUCUCACAAUGACAAGUACACUGGAAGUUGCUUUUGUUGUUUAUUGUUUCCCUUUCAGGACUUGAUUUGUAAUCAGGAAUUUAACCUUUCUUUUAUACAUAGCUUGUUUCAUAAAUAAACUUGCCAAGCUUCUGAAGUUGAGGGGAAUCUUGUAAAGCUGUGCAUGUGUGCUGCUUCAGAGGCGAUGAGUUCAGGGAGAGUGUAGGCAUUCUCUGAAGGGGAGCAGGUCUGGAAAUUCAGAAAACUGGAUAUUUUUGUGCACCAUCUGGAGAAUUUGGGGUUUGGGGUUUGCAGCAGCAUGUGCCACUGGCAGAGUGCUACCAGACAGAAAUAUGGGGGCAACCACAACAACGCUGCAGCCCUGAAGAUUAUAUAAUACAAAUAAAUGUAACAAUAUUGUUUCAAAUGUCUGCUCCCAUUUAAAGUGGGCAUUGAAAAUUAAAGUAGGUUUGAAGGCGACUGUAUUCUGUGAGCAAAAACAUGUGAGCCCCAAUCCUCUAUAAAACAGGGUGAAGGUUACCUGACCUGCGUAGUUCAGGCUAAGAAAUCUCCAUAAAUGAACUCCAUUUCUCUAGAAAGGCCUCUGUUCAUUACCAGCAGGGUUCCUGCAUGCAGGAAUCACAACAGCAACUCUCAAAUCCUACCACUGCUUUUAAGAGCCUAAAUGUAGCUGGAAUUCAUCUGAGGUCAAUUUUGAGCCAGUGACUCAUCUCAGUUCUUCUAAUGAUGUGCGUUGAAGUUUGUUCCAGCUUAAAUUAGAGAUUCUUUCCGACCACAAAGAAAUCCGUAGCUUCUUAGGGAAAAAACAAAACCAAAAACACCCCAACUUUUUC
Molecule: long non-coding RNA, 1818 nt
Organism: Zonotrichia leucophrys gambelii
Lineage: Eukaryota; Metazoa; Chordata; Aves; Passeriformes; Passerellidae
Exons: 4
Source: RefSeq, a predicted model, not a curated record